GUUUUCUCUGGGUGCUCCGGUUUCCCUCACAGUCCAAAGACGUGUGCUAAUUACUCGCUGAAGCUAAGCAGGGCUAAGCCUGUUCAUUACCUGGAUGAGAGACCACAUGGGAAACGUUCGAGGUUACA
RNAcentral lists this ribosomal RNA (128 nucleotides) under Danio rerio (zebrafish). The record is from RNAcentral. Lineage: Eukaryota; Metazoa; Chordata; Actinopteri; Cypriniformes; Danionidae.